GCGUGGCACCGGGGGUCAGGCUGCAGCGCCAGAGCAGCAGGCGCUUACGCAUAACUGGGGCCGUCUUCCCCCCGGCGGCGGCGGCCCUUUUAACCGCGAGCUACACGG
Molecule: small nucleolar RNA, 108 nt
Organism: Mesoplodon densirostris (Blainville's beaked whale)
Lineage: Eukaryota; Metazoa; Chordata; Mammalia; Artiodactyla; Ziphiidae
Source: RefSeq, a predicted model, not a curated record